This 84-nucleotide microRNA precursor is filed under the name Bombyx mori (domestic silkworm). RNAcentral describes it as "mir-2807 microRNA precursor family". It matches the Rfam family "mir-2807 microRNA precursor family". The record is from Rfam by way of RNAcentral. Lineage: Eukaryota; Metazoa; Arthropoda; Insecta; Lepidoptera; Bombycidae.
UUAAUUCAAAUUUGUAUGGAGUUGGAAUGUUUACGUAAGUUUGCCGCUAGGGGCGCUGUUCCAACUGCAUACAAAUUCUAGGUU